GUGGGGAAUUUUGGACAAUGGGCGAAAGCCUGAUCCAGCCAUGCCGCGUGCAGGAUGAAGGCCUUCGGGUUGUAAACUGCUUUUGUACGGAACGAAAAGACUCCUUCUAAUAAAGGGGGUCCAUGACGGUACCGUAAGAAUAAGCACCGGCUAACUACGUGCCAGCAGCCGCGGUAAUACGUAGGGUGCAAGCGUUAAUCGGAAUUACUGGGCGUAAAGCGUGGGCAGGCGGUUAUAUAAGACAGAUGUGAAAUCCCCGGGCUCAACCUGGGAACUGCAUUUGUGACUGUAUAGCUAGAGUACGGUAGAGGGGGAUGGAAUUCCGCGUGUAGCAGUGAAAUGCGUAGAUAUGCGGAGGAACACCGAUGGCGAAGGCAAUCCCCUGGACCUGUACUGACGCUCAUGCACGAAAGCGUGGGGAGCAAACAGGAUUAGAAACCCUGGUAGUCC
RNAcentral lists this ribosomal RNA (450 nucleotides) under uncultured bacterium. RNAcentral's name for it is "partial 16S ribosomal RNA". It matches the Rfam family "Bacterial small subunit ribosomal RNA", at positions 354 to 796 of the family's 1533-position model. The record is from RNAcentral.